CUCAAGUGGUCAUAUGGUGACUGAUUUUAUUUUCUGCUUUAUAUUUUUCCUUAUUUUCCAAAUAGUCUACACUGAACACACAGCCAAGGAAUCAAAGUUCACUUUCAGAUCAAAGGGAUUCUAUUCAGUGUCAGCCAGAAGGAGAGGCAGCUGGUCCCACACCCUGUGGGCAGGAAAGCACAAAGCACGGACCCAACCUGAUGAAGUCUGGUCUCGAGGAAUCCCCAGUCCAGUCCACGGAUGGUCACCAGGCUCCUCCCCAACCAUCCCUCCUCCUUCUCCCCUGGAAGGACCGCCUCCAAAGAGAGAGGGGCACACAGGGUCCUGGGCGGCUUUGAUGAGAGGGCUCCUAUUCAGAAGAGCUGAGCUGUGGACAUCUGUCAUGGACCCUCCCUCUGAUUCUCCUGGUGGGACCACGCCCCUGCAUCACAGCCUUCAGGCCACACAGAAGCCAAUCCUGGGGCAUGAGGCUGGCCACUGGAGCUAGAUCACAG
RNAcentral lists this long non-coding RNA (494 nucleotides) under Mustela putorius furo (domestic ferret). Its description in RNAcentral is "lncRNA (ENSMPUG00000029099.1)". Lineage: Eukaryota; Metazoa; Chordata; Mammalia; Carnivora; Mustelidae. The record is from RNAcentral.